AGGAGAAAACGUUGAGCUUACGAGCAUGGCUUUGAUUUUUUUUUUGUUGAGGCUGUGGUGUAUGGUCUUUGGAAAAAGAGUUGUGAGAUCCUGUUGAAACUAUAGCAACUUGGGGAGCGAACUGCUGUAUGUGGCCUCCAUUAGAAGAGGCAUUUGAACUGUUGUGUUUGAUUAAUUUCGGGCGAGUUGAUUCCAUAUUGUUUAAAUUUACAUGAUCUUCAACUUGUCACUGCUUUUGGAAAGAGGAAGAAGGCAUGCUUUCCAUACCCUGCGAUUGAGAAACAGAAGAUCCAUCUAACAAACCCUUUGAUGACUCCGAUUUCGUAAAAGCUCUAGCCGAAUCAGACAAUGCUGGCCAAGAGUGUGCAUCCAUAACCGGCCGUACCUCUGAAGCUGCACCAUUGGAGGAAGGCUUAUUCCAAGCAGGUCUUGUGCAUAUAUGUUCAUAGUUGAAGAAUGGUUUCCAAUUUGUCAAACAAAUUUUGAUGGCAGUUCACAAGGUGUCAUCCAUUUAGCUUCUGCUGCACCCAAAAUCCCUGUGCUACUGAAUAUAGAAGCCUUGCAAGAGUACUCAGUUGAAGGUGUGAGGUUUUCUAAUUUGAAUCUUUUCUCGGGCCUCAAAACAAUGAAAGUCGGUUGUUCGGGGUAGUCCGUUGAUGAUAUUCUAUGCCAAAGCCUGCAGCCUAGAAAGUUCUUUAAGAGUUUGUCUUUGUAUUCAAGCACACUGACCAUUGAGGUGGGAAGACACUCUUCGAAAUGUAAAGAACAUGUUGGUGCUUCUUUCUUUUCUUCACAACUAGAAAAGAGUUCAGAAAACUUUAAAUCAAAACAUUCAACUGUAGUAGAGCACAACUUCUGAACCUCAACACCGCAUGAGAGGCUACUCACAAUUCCACGCGUCAUCCUAGCAUAUACGUGAUCCAGAGGUCCCGCUUCAUUCUCCAAUAAUUCGAGAGUGGUUUCUACGAUCUUAUGCACUUCCGUGUAUACUUUCGUUCCUGUGAGAAUUCUGUGGGCUAAGGAAAUUCGCACAGAGAGUAUAUCCACUCUUCUUGCUUCUCUGGCAACCAAUAAUUGCUUUCUCCAUGUCCUCAUUAAUUCAUUAAUUUUUCCACAAGAAACACAACAGAAGCUUCCAUCCAAGGUUACACCGGGACUUCCUUUCAAAAUUCAAGACAUUUGAUUACUCUAAGCACAUUGCAAAUGACACGACAUUCUAUAUGACUCUUCAUUCGGUUUAUCAGAGGUGCAGGUCAACCACAAACUAGGAUCCUUGUUAUCGUUGUAACAACGACAUAUACAACAAGAACAUCUCUUGCAAAAUGAAUCUUCUGGUUUCAGUGUAGCUUUGCAUGCCACAUUCCGACAAACUAAGGUUUUCGUUGUUUCCUCAUUUGUGUUCUCUAUUUGAACAUUACGUAAAUCAAGAGAAGGGGGUCCUUUUUUCCUUUUAUAUCCUACACAACUUUUGGCAGGAGAAUGAGCAAGAGCAUUUUGGUCGACGUACAAGUUGGAUUUCUGAGAAAUUAACUUCAGAAGAUAUUCUAUCAUUUGACCCUUAGUAUAUCCAGUGUACUUCCUUUCUUUGCCUAAUUCAGCACAGAUUAAUUCUAGGAGUUCCCGGCGAGUAAAUGAUUGAAGUAUAUCCGGGGCAUCUUUGGACUGACGAGCAACUUCAUGGACCAGUCUUUGCUUCUCUUGGAAAUUCAUAACACCGCAUUUUGCAGGGUCGAGAAAAAAACCCGUUGUUGGUAACGGUGAAAAGACACAUCUUAUUUUGGUGUUCGGCCAUGAUUAUUGUUGUUGGAAGAACAACAGAGUUUUAUCUGAGAAUAUGUAGCAUUACACUGAAAGAGAGAGAGAGAGAGAAGAGUGUCAUGUAAUUUGAGCAUUCAAUGUCAUGAUGAGUGAUUUGGCAUAUUAGUUGGAAUUAGUUUUCCUUGUAGUUUUGGAGUGUCUGCAGUGUUGGACAUUACUGCUUCUAUUUUCCACUUGCAGCUUUUUUCAAAUGCAUUUUCUUUUAUUUUUUAGUGUAAAUUGCUUAAUGGUUUAAGUGAUUUUGUUCCAAUUCCUAUUUUUUGGUGCAGGAAAUAUGCUACACGCAUGAUGAUUUCUCGCCGCAUGUUGUUCACCGAGAUGUGAAAACAAGUAUCAUUCUUUUGGAUUCAUAAUUCAAUGCAAAAGUUGUUGAUUUCGGUCUCUCCAGGUGACUGAUUAAACCAGAAGAACUUGCCACCCUGCCAACUGUGGCUGGCGCAUUUGGAUACAUUGCCCCAGUUAAAACAAUUUCGAAUUCCCGCUUUCUCAUAAAAUUCGACUAUCUUAAGUUAUUAGAUCUCAAUGUUUAUUUAGUGUAUGAAUUGCAGAAUAUGCUCAAACAAUUAGAGUCAAUGAGAAGAUAGAUGUUUACAGCUUUGGAGUAGUUAUUUUGGAACUGACAAAUGGAAAAGAAACUAAUCUAAAAAAAUGCCAGCCGGUAGACCAUCAAUGAAGGAAGUCUUGAAGAUAUUGAUCGGUUGCAGAGAUCCACAAGCAAGCCAAUGCAGAGAAGAUUGUUGAUAUUCAUGAUGAUGCUCCAUUCCUUAAGAACUUUGAUAGUGUGAUAAAACGCAUGCACGUUUGUAACGAACUUCGAACUGAUUUUUUUGACUAACAGUUACAGCUCCAUGUUUUCUCUUUUGAAGUGCAACAUUCACAUCAAACUUUAAAGAAAAUAAAUCCACAGCUUAAUAAACUAUGAAAAUUUGCUUCAACCUUCUCUUUGUUACUCUGUUCAAAUAGCCAACAAAUGAGAAGCUUAUAGGAUUCUAGAUGUGUUAAAUGAUUACAGUCCAUCAUAGAAUCCCACAAUCUCAAUGCUUCUUCGUGCAUUCCAACCUUGCAGCAACCACUUAGAAGAGAAAUAUGAAUAAUUUCAGAUGGAGAUAUUCCAUUUUCUCUCAUAUGGUUUAAUAACCCAAAGGCUACCGACAAGUAUUCCAUUUUGCGAAGUCCUAUGAUAAGCUUGUCGUAAGUCUUAAUGUUAGGCACACAACCACGUUCCAUCAUUUUCUCACAGAGCGUGGUUAUGAUUUCAAAGUCAGUUAUCCUCCAUAAAUCGGCAUUAUCAAUUGAAACAUUAUGUUUUUUUAACCAUUAGAUGCUUUAUUAGAAUGGAAUGUGUUUGAAUCGAAGGCUCACAACCUGUAUCAAACAUGCGUCCGAGAACACCAAAUGCAUUGUCUAGUUGUCCUAUACAUCCAUAAGCACUCAUUAAUAAAUUAUAGACCGUGCAGUCGGGUACUAUGCCUUUCUUCUUUAAUCUUGACCACCAUCUCUUCGGGCAUCGUAAUCUUCCUUGGCAGCAGACACACCGAAGUGUGUAGAAGUUACAAGUUUAGAACCUUUUAGGACUUGAAAUGAAAAACGCUCGUUGUGAAUGAGCAAGAAAAUGACGCUUUCAUGAAAUGAUGGUUGUGAGUGGAUGGAUGUGAUAAAAAUGAAUGAAGUAGCUGAAACAUGAAUGAGCAUGCAUUAGAUAUGGAAGCUUUCCAAUGUGAAUGAAAAAUGUGAGUGCAAAUUGAAUAUGACUUUUAUAGAAAUAUGAGAUGGAAUAUAGAUGGAAUCUCUUUGAAUUAAGAUCGAAAGGAAAAAUGAUGUUCUAUGAGAGAGACAAAACAUGGAUUGAAUUUAGACAUGAGAAUGAAAGUCAUGACAUUCCAAAUGAUUCUAUCAAAAUACAUCAAACAUCUAAAGCAAAAUAGAGAGGUAAAAAUCUAAUAGUCAUGGGAUGGCAAGUAGUGGCAAUUUCUAAACAACCAGUGUAGGUGGAUAGAUUCAUGACCGGUUGAAAUGGUCAUGAGGAGGAAAGAAAAUGAAUGAUUGAUGAAAAAAAUUCCAGGUCCAAAAUCAGGGUAUAAGAGUUGCCCAUAUUUAAACAUCCUCCACCAGAGGAAAAUGAAACAGCACUUUUCAUCGGAUCAGAGUGGGGGAUGGUUAAAUACUAUGGAGACCCAGAUUUUGAUCCUGAAAAAUGCAAAUGUUAUGAUAUGAUAUGCAUGGAUGCAGGAUUCUUUAUUUUUUUGAAUUUACCCGUUAGGGACACGGUGAAUCCUUAACAGGAGAUGUUACCGGACAGACCAAUCUGUGGGGAACUCUGAUGGCCCACAGAGAGAUAAAUACCAUAGGGUAAAACAAACCGCUGGGGAUAAUAAUCCUACUAGAGAGUCAGACACACAACAUGGGAGUACUCAAAGUGAAAGUUGACAAACGACACUUUGAAUACAAGAGAUUCCAGCAGUAAGUUCACACAUGACUUACUAAACCCGAAUAAAAAAAAUUCUACAACAGGUUCAUACAUGACUUGAUAACGCUGAAACAAUCAUAAAGAAGGAUUCUUCAAAACAGGUUCAUACAUGACCUGGUAAUACUGGAAUGAAAGCUCAACAGCAGGUUCAUACAUGACCUGACAAUGCUGGGGAAUAUCAAGAAGUUCUGACAACAGGUUCAGACAUGACCUAACAAACUCAGAAAAACUCAAAAGAGUAUAUCAACAGGUUCAUACAUGACCUGACAACACCAGGAAAUUCAAAGGAUUUUCAACAACAAGUUCAAACGUGAUCUAACAAUACUUGAAUAUUCAAGGAAUUUUCAACAACUGGUUCAAACAUGACCUGACAGUGUUAGGGGAUAUCAAAAAGUUCUGUAAACAGGUUCAAACAUGACCUAACAGCAUUGGAAAAUUCAAAGCAUUUCGACAAUAGGUUCAAACAUGACCUAAGAAUAUUAGAAAACCAAAGAAUUUUUAAUCAAGAGGUUCAUAUGUGACCUCAACACUUGGAUAUUCAAAGAAAGUUUCACUCACAGAUUCAUACAUGACCUGACGACACUUAGUAGAAAAACAAAGGGAGUUUUAUCAACAGGUUCAUACAUGGCCCAACGACACUGGAAAAUUCAAAGAAAAUACAUCCAUAGGUUCAUACAUGACCUGACAAUAUUGGGAAACACACAAAGCAAGUUUCAUUAACAGGUUCACACAUGACCUGACACCUUAGAGUACAUCUGACAAUUCUGGAGAUUUCUCACAAGAAAUUCAAAGAUUUUGGAGAUUCCUAACAGGGAAUUUAUGAAAAACAAAGAUAAACAGGAGUCUUCUUAUAAGUAGAUCAUCCGUGCAAAAGGCUAUGAUGAUUCUUUACAAAGAAAUCAAACAAAACCAACAUCAUUAGAGUUUUCUAACAUGAAAACCUCCAAGCUUCUGGGAAUUCCUCAAGAUGAUGAGUCAUACAUGACUUUCACGGAACCAUCAGGAAAGACAGGGUAAUUAAACUCUCUGUACGUGCCAAACAACAAUUGGACUUUUAACCGUAAGUAAUGGAUUACAACAUCACGGAACCAUCAGGAAAGACAGGGUAAUUAAACUCUCUGUACGUGCCAAACAACAAUUGGACUUUUAACCGUAAGUAAUGGAUUACAACCAACUUUUAACGGAUAGGUGCCAACAACAAUUGGACCUUGACUGUAAGCAAUGGAUUACAACCAGCUUUUAACAGAUUGGUGCCAACAACAAUUGGACUUUGACUGUAAGCAAUGGAUUACAACCAGCUUUUAACAGAUUGGUGCCAACAACAGUUGGACUUGAAAUGAUGUUGGCAACAACCAAACUUCAGAUAUCAAUUACAAAUGUAUUUACAAACAGACUGACAAUGAUGCCAACGAUGAUUUGAACUUUUGAAACGAUACUAGCGACAACUGGUCUUUGGGUCAAGGGAUAACAAUCAACAACGGGACCGAAGGGGUCACACACAUGGGUAUAGAGUACACUUUGAACCAUGCAUGUCUUGACUUUUGUUUUAUGCAUGAUAUAUGAAUGAUCAUGAUAUGCAAUGCUGACAAUAGGCAGACUGGGAGUUUGUAUGGACUGUUUACAGGGAUUCUAAUUCCUCAACACCAAUAACUCAAACCCGUACAAUUAACAGGCGUAUCCAGAGGAGAAUCUAUCAUGAUUGACAGUUAUAAAUAACCAAAGGUCCAUCCUUCCAGAGGAUUGAUAAGUUGUGUUCCAUGGAGAUUUUUGUUGGUGACACAUGAGCAUUACGCAAUCUUGAGACCUUCAGAAAAACAAAUGAUUUUCUCUUGAUUUUCACAUAUAUCAAAGUAAUUUUGUUCCUUUCACUAAAUUUCAAAUUUGUUUCAAGUUUCAAAAUUUCAUUAUUAACAAAUAAAUAACACUUUGCGUAACAAAGAAAAACAUAGAAGAACACAAUUAACAAUGAUUGAUAGGAAAAACUUGUAUUUUAUUCAAGAAUGGUAACACACAAAUGGCGUAGCUCCAUGGAAUGUUACAAUUUUGAAAAUGGCAAUAAGGAAAGGUUUACGUUGAAUUCAGUGGCCACUAAUAUCCCUAAUAGAUAUGAUUCCCCAAAACCUUACUUCUAAGGGGAGUAACUGGAUUGAUCUUCCGCCUCGAAUUCUUUUGUGUCAAUCAGUAACAACUGAUGCAGUUUAUGCCUUUUGCCCCUAACUUUUGCCUGGAUCUCCCUUUCGGGUUUUCAAUCCACCGGGACGCUUUUUUUUUUUGCCUAAGUUGCCCUUUCAGGUUUUCAACUUAGCGAGCUAUCAUUUUUUUAUUCAUCCCUUAUUUCUGCCUGAAUCACCCCUUCGGGUUUUUGAUCCACCGGGAUACCCUUUUUUUGCCUAAAUCGCCCUUUCAGGUUUUCGACUUAGUGGGUUUUUAUUAGGCAUAGUAUUUUUUAACUGCGUCAGAGUUCACGGGGUGUGAGAGCUCUUCAUCAUCCAUAGUUGUGAGAAUCAAGGCACCUCCGGAGAAGGCUUUCUUCAUAACAUAUGGGCCUUCAUUAUUGGGAGUCCACUUCCCACGUGAGUCCUUGUGUAGUAGCAAGAUCUUCUUGAGCACGAGGUCUCCUUCUCUGAAUUCACGAACAUGUACUUUCUUGCCAAAAGCCCUCUUGAGCCGUUUCUGGUAUAACUGUCCAUGGCACAAAGAAGUCAUUCGCUUCUCAUCUAUGGGGUUUAACUGAUCAAAUCUAUUUUGAAUCCAUUCAGCCUCUUCUAGCUUGGUCUCCAUCAAGAUUCUCAUUAAAGGUAUCUCCACUUCAAUUGGGAGAACCGCUUCCAUCCCAUAUACCAAAGAGAACGGGGUUGCCCCUGUUGAAGUGCGGACGGAAGUCCGGUAUCCAUGCAGUGCAAAGGGUAGCAUUUCGUGCCAAUCCUUAUAGGUUUUCACCAUUUUCUACAGGAUCUUCUUGAUGUUUUUAUUAGCAGCUUCAACAGCGCCAUUCAUCUUUGGACGAUAUAGUGAAGAGUUAUGGUGCUCAAUCUUGAAGCUUUCGCAUAGUUCCUUCAUGGUCUUAUUAUUCAGAUUCGUCCCAUUAUCUGUGAUGAUCCGGCUUGGAACUCCAUAACGGAAAAUGAUCUCUUUCUUGAGGAACCGUGCAACCACUUGUUUUGUCACAUUAUCAUAAGAGGCGGCUUCUACCCAUUUGGUAAAGUAAUCAAUGGCAACCAGGAUGAAGCGGUGACCAUUGGAAGCUUUAGGCUCGAUGGCGCCAAUCAUGUCGAUGCCCCACAUUGACAUUGAGAAAGGCCAAGGUGACGUCAAAACAUUUAGUAGGGUCGGAGGCACGUGUACCUUGUCGGCAUAGAUUUGGCAUUUAUGACAUUUUCUAGCAUAAUUGAAGCAGUUGGAUUCCAUGGUCAACUAGUAAUGACCAGCUCUCAAAAUCUUCUUGGCCAUGGCAUGCCCAUUGGCAUGAGUUCCAAAGGAUCCUUCAUGAAUCUUCUUGAUCAACAAGUCCACUUCACGUCCAUCCAUGCAUCUGAGCAGAAUCAUGUCGUGGUUUCUCUUGUAUAACACGCCAUUGCUUAAGAAGAAUUUGGAUGCUAACUUCCUCAAUGUUUUCUUGUCAAGGGCUGUUGCAUCUGUUGGAUAUUCUUGAUUUUGCAAAAUACAUUUGAUGUCGUGAAACCAAGGUUUACCAUCGGCUUCCUCUUCAAUCAACUGGCAGUAGGCAGGCUCAACUUUCCGCUCGAUCUGAAUGAGAGGCGCUUCAUUAUGGAAUCUAACUUGGUACAUUGAAGCCAACAUAGCCAAAGCAUCAGCAAUUUGAUUCUCAGUUCUCGGUAUACGACGGAAAGUGAUUUCGUCAAAGUAUUUUAUUAGUUCCAUGACAUAGGCACGAUAUGGGAUCAACUUGGUAUCACGGGUUUCCCAUUCGCCCUUGACUUGGUGUAUCACCAAGGCUGAGUCUCCACAUGCUUCGAGGAUUUUGAUUCGGAGGUCAAUUGCUGCUUCAAUGCCUAGGACGCACGCCUCAUAUUCUGCUAUAUUAUUUGUGCAAUCAAAACACAACCUUGCUGUGAAAGGAGUGUACCCACCAUUCGGAUUCAAUAGAACAACUCCUACGCCAUGCCCCAUGUAAUUGGAGGAACCAUCAAACAUGAGCUUCCACCGAGAUCCGGGUUCAGGUCCUUCAUCAAGUCCUGGGAUUUCACAAUCUUUUACUACCAUAAUGUCUUCAUUUGGGAAGUCAAAUUUCAACGGCUGGUAGUCUUCAACAGGUUGGUUUUCCAGGUAAACAUAUAAUACGCUUCCUUUGAUGGCUUUCUGAGAUACAUAUUGGAUGUCAUACUCAGAUAGUAACAUCUGCCAACGGGCGAGUCUUCUAGUCAAAGCAGGCUUUUCAAAGAUAUACUUUAUUGGAUCCAUUUUUGAGAUCAAUAAAGUAGUGUGGAAAAUCAUGUAUUGUCUUAGACGACGAGCGGCCCAUGCUAAAGCACAACAAGUUUUCUCCAAGAGUGAAUAUCGGAUUUCACAAUCGGUAAAUCUCUUACUUAGAUAGUAGAUGGCAUGCUCCUUUCGGCCGGUUUCGUCAUGUUGUCCCAGCAUACAUCCCAUUGACUUUUCAAGUACAGUUAAAUACAUAAAGAGUGGUUUCCCCCGAAUAGGUGGAAUUAGAAUAGGGGGCUCUUGCAGGUAUUGUCUGAUCUUCUCAAAAGCCAUUUGGCAGUCAGAGUUCCAUUCAACUGCUUGGUCUUUUCUCAGCAGCUUGAAUAUAGGUUCAGACGUAGCAGUCAUAUGAGAUAUAAACCCAGAGAUAUAGUUCAAACGUCCCAGGAAUCCUCUAACUUCUUUCUCUGUACGUGGAGCAGGAAUUUCUUGUAUUGCCCUAACCUUGUCUAGAUCUACCUCAAUUCCUCGUUGACUAACAAUGAAACCGAGCAACUUUCCAGAUCGGACACCGAAGGUGCAUUUAGCAGGAUUCAGUCGUAGUUGAAAUUUUCGAAGACGCUCAAAUAGCUUUUGCAAGUGAUCUAUAUGAUCCUCUUCACUUUGGGAUUUUGCAAUCAUAUCAUCUACAUAAACCUCAAUUUCCUUAUGCAUCAUAUCAUGGAAAAGAGUGACCAUUGCUCUUUGGUAAGUUUCCCCAGCAUUUUUGAGACCGAAUGGCAUUACCUUGUAGCAAAAUGUUCCCCAAGGGGUGAUGAAUGUGGUCUUUUCCAUGUCUUCUGGAUCCAUCUUAAUUUGAUUAUAACCCGAGAAUCCGUCCAUAAAGGAGAAGACCGCGAACUUAGCAGUGUUGUCUACCAGAGUGUCAAUAUGUGGCAGGGGGAAAUCAUCCUUUGGACUAGCUUUAUUUAGAUCCCUUUAAUCAACACACAUCCUGACCUUUCCGUCCUUUUUGGGUACUGGUACAAUAUUAGCUACCCAUUGGGGGUACUUCGCAACUGCUAGAAAACCGGCAUGAAAUUGACGUUUCACCUCGUCACAAAUCUUUAGAGCCAUGUCGGGUCUUGCUCUUNNNNNNNNNNNNNNNNNNNNNNNNNNNNNNNNNNNNNNNNNNNNNNNNNNNNNNNNNNNNNNNNNNNNNNNNNNNNNNNNNNNNNNNNNNNNNNNNNNNNNNUUUUGCAAGUGAUCUAUAUGAUCCUCUUCACUUUGGGAUUUUGCAAUCAUAUCAUCUACAUAAACCUCAAUUUCCUUAUGCAUCAUAUCAUGGAAAAGAGUGACCAUUGCUCUUUGGUAAGUUUCCCCAGCAUUUUUGAGACCGAAUGGCAUUACCUUGUAGCAAAAUGUUCCCCAAGGGGUGAUGAAUGUGGUCUUUUCCAUGUCUUCUGGAUCCAUCUUAAUUUGAUUAUAACCCGAGAAUCCGUCCAUAAAGGAGAAGACCGCGAACUUAGCAGUGUUGUCUACCAGAGUGUCAAUAUGUGGCAGGGGAAAUCGUCCUUUGGACUAGCUUUGUUUAGAUCCCUAUAAUCAACACACAUCCUGACCUUGCCAUACCUUUUGGUUACUGGUACAAUAUUAGCUACCCAUUGAGGGAACUUCGCCACUGCUAGAAAACCGGCAUCAAAUUGACGUUUCACCUUGUCACAAAUCUUGAGAGCCAUGUCGGGUCUUGCUCUUCAGAGCUUCUGCUUCAUUGACGGGUAAUCUGGCUGUAGUAGUAGCUUGUGGACAACAAUAUCAGUAUCUAAACCUGGCAUAUCCUGAUAUGACCAAGCAAAUACAUCUACAUAUUCUUGUAGCAACUCGAUCAAUCUUUCUUUGAUGCUUGCCCCAAGUGUAGUCCCAACUUUGACCUCUUUCUUGUCUUCCUUAGUGCCAAGGUUGAUUGUUUCCACUAGUUCUUGAUGCGGCUGAAGGGCUUUUGACUCAUGCUCGAGCAGCCUUUCCAAUUCUUCAGGGAAAUCACAAUCUUCCUCACUAUCCUCUUCCGCUUGGUAGAUGGGGAGUUCAAAGUUAUAGGAAGUAGUGGGGUCAUCGAAUUCAACUAGUUUAUUGGUUAUUCUGCAUGUUUUUUAAAUGAUGGUUUUUUAGAAAAGAUGGAAAUGAAAUGCAAAAGAAUUAAAAAUAUUUUUGUAGUUUUGAAAGGAUUGCCAUUUUAAGGAAAGAAAAACAAAUGAAUGAACGAUAAGAAUUUGAACAAAAUGCUCUUUAUUUGUCAUAAUGAUUUUGAAAUUUAAAGUGGCCCUACAAGUGAUCCAUUAGCCUUGGGCAGAGCUAAGGAUUUUCAAAAAACAAAGGAAAACACAAUUACCUUGACAUAGGAAAAACUUCUGGAAUCUCAACUGCUUCCCAAUUUGUUAAGGCUGCUUCACGCUGGUAUAUCAGAUUUGAUGCUUCUCCAUCUUCAGUGUCAUCUUCAACGACACCAACUUGAUUUCCAUGGAUAAAUCAUGUGCUUAGGAAAAUUUCUUGUAUGCUCCGCACGCGGUCCUUUGCAGGGACCAGGGAUCCUCCCUUAGUAGAAGGCUUGUACCCCAAACCAAAACGAUCAUUUUUCUCGCUGACAUUGAUGACCUGCCCCCAACCUGCAGGGCCUCCACUUUCAACUGCUGACCUUGCACUAUUCAAAGAGGCGAACGACAAACUGGUUUUCCCAAUAGGCUAUUUUACCUCAGCAAGUGUGGCAUUGGAUAUUUCAAGUGCUUGGAAAGAGGUCUCUAAGGCAUCCUCAUCAGCCUCGAUAUAACGGAAAGAGGAGAGUUGACUGAUGAUAAAAUCUUCUUCACCCGAGACAAUUGUCAUCGACAAAACUUCCAUUCGAUGCAAAGUAGCAAGUCACUCUCCCCAGCAGCAUGUAACCAUAGACGUCCCCAAAGGCAACUGUAAGCCGGGAUAUGUCAUUGACUUGGAAUAUUGAUGGGAAUGACAUGCGGUCAGGCGAUUUGGAUUGGUACUUCGACCUCCAACUUACUGUCCUUCGAGAACCAUCAAAUGCUUUUACCACAAGUGCACUAGGUUUCAAUUCCGAACCUUGGUAAGAUAAUUUAGCAAGUGCCCUCUUUGGUAGAACAUUGAGGGACGAUCCAGUGUCAACUAAAACCCUAGCCAGAACAUUUUCUUGCCACUUUAUGGAUACAUGUAAGGCGCGAUUGUGAUUCUUCCCUUCCUUGGGUAGCUCUUCAUUGCUGAAACUUAGAGUGUUGUAGGCUGUGAUAUUGGUGACCACCCCAUCGAAUUGGCCAACCGUUAUAUCUUGGGUAACAUGAGUUUGAGCAAGCACUUUCAGUAGAGCCUCCCUAUGAGCUUGGGAAUUCAGAAGCAAGGACAAGAUAAAUAUUUUUGACGGUGUCUGAUGUAACUGAUCGACUAUCUUGUAGUCACUUUUCUUUAUUAUUCUUAGAAAUUCACUCGCUUCAUCUGCUUGCACUGCCGGCUAUGCCCCUCCAUACUCUGGGGCUAAAUUUGCAGUUACAGUUUCCCUUGUUGGUUCUUGAGGAAUUAUAUUAACAUUGGGAGUAUAAAUCCGACCGCUGCGGGUCAUUCUGCUCGUCCCUGCGAUGCUAGUGAUAUUGGUGUCAAUAUUCUCCAAGCUUUUCUCACCUUCAACAUCUUUGGGUUCUUCAUCUACCACUCCAUCUACCACAGUUAUGUCAUAUUCCCAAGGUACCGCUUUGGUGCUUUCAAAGGGAAAGGGGGUAGGCAUACAAACUACCACGGGUGAUGGAUGAACAACAUCUUUUCUUUGAUAAGUUAUCUCAACAGGUUCUGGUAGAUUGAAAAAGGGUAUUGGUGCUUUCAAAGGGAAAGGGGGUAGGCAUACAAACUACCACGGGUGAUGGAUGAACAACAUCUUUUCUUUGAUAAGUUAUCUCAACAGGUUCUGGUAGAUUGAAAAAGGGUUCAAUGACUGAAACUUCCUCGUUUGUUACAGGACCACAAACUUGUAAAACACCUUGAUCCAUCAAGUUUUGAAUAUCAGUUCGUACCACUUUACAUCCCCUUGGAUGAACGACACAUUCUUCACAGUUGUCGUGACAUGUAUCAAUCGAACUAGCUCCCACCAAUCUUGCAUGGAGUGCUAGCAACGGAGUUUUAACAUCUUCAACAUUUUUGAUUAUACAAACAUCAGAAGCAUCCUCAACGGCAUUAACAUCACCAUGCGCCGGUAGAGGGUUACUUUUUACGUUGGGUCCAACAUCUCGGAAUGAAAGGAUCUUCUUCUCAACCAGCUCUCGCACAAUAUGCUUCAAAGCAUAACAUCCCUCUAGAUCAUGCCCAGGGGAACCCUUAUGGAAAGGACAAUGGGCAUCUUGGUUGUACCAUGGAGGUAAGGGAUUUGGUGGAGGACCCAAAGGUCUGGGAGUCACCAACCCUUUCUACAGUAACGAUGGGUAUAACUCAGUGUACUUCAUAGGGAUUGAAGCGAAAGGAGGUCUACCUCUUUGUACCCUAUUUUGAUUUGGAAUAUUUUUUGGACGUGAAGCCUGUGCCCUCGGCUGUUGAUAAGAGGGUGGCAUGGAUGCUUGCUGGUAUACUGGUGCUUGUUGAAUAGGUUGAUAGACAGGAGCUUGUGAUUGGUUGAAAUUUGGUGUGACUGCUGCCACAUACGGUUGUUGAAUAUAUUGCACUGGAUAAGUUGGUUGUUGCUGAGAAAAUUGAUGUUGCUUCUUCCUAGAAUGACUCCUUCUUUGACUGGUUGACAUUGCGUUUAUUUCACCCUCUUUCUUCCUUUGGAAACUUCCAGAAAACUUUUUGACAUUAUUACCAGAUGUUUUAGAGGUGGUUAUCAUUUUUCCAUUCUUCAAUCCAAGCUCGACCUUUAUGCCCACAACAAACAAGUCAGAGAAGCUUGCCGAUACACUAAUCACCAUCCUUUUAUAGAACAUGGGCUUUAUUGUAUCCAUGAACCAAUCUGCUAACUCCUUCUCAACAAGGGGUGGUUCGACUUGCGAGGCCACUUCCCUCCAUUGUUAUGCAUAUUCCUUAAAAGACUCGUUAUCUUUCUGGGACAUGCUGAGCAAUUGCCUCCUAUCCGGGGCCAUAUCCAUGUUAUACUUAUAAUGUUGGAUGAAAGCAUCAGAUAAGUCUUGGAAACAACGAAUUCUACUUUGAUCAAGGCUUAAGUACCACUUAGAGGGAGCACCCCUCAAGUUGUCUUGGAAGCAAUGUAUCAUAAGUUUAUCGUCCUCCACGUGCGCCGCCAUUUUUCGAUAGUACAUAAUAAGGUGACUUUUAGGACAUGAGUGGCCCUCGUACUUAUCGAAAUCCGGGGUCUUGAAUUUUGCGGGAAUCACGAGACCAGACACUAGGCACAUCUCCCUAGCAGCAACACCAAAAACUUGGUCACCUUCCAUAGCCCUUAACCUUUUCUCAAGAAUAUGAAAUUCUCUUUCAUCCCUCUUAUGUCUUCCUGCCUUUCAUCCUCUUCGUCCGAAAAGUCUGGGGCAUGCUGUUGAUCCUCAAAAUAAGGUUGCACGUGUGUACGGGCGAGAGGUGGUGCAAACGUGUGGACCACUGGAUGAGUUUCAUCGAUAGUUGGUAGAGGAGUCGUCUGCUGAGUGGAUUGUACAAAACCAGGGGUGCCUUCAACUGGAGGUGUGAAACCGGGAGGUAAACCAUAGACUGGCCAGGUGGUUGGUACUUUCCUUGCAGGUUCGGGUUCAAUCGUAGGACCGGUGAUUUCUGAAACGACCGUCGUUUGGGUGUCCAACUUAGCCCUAAUGACUUGUAGUAUCUCCAUGACUUGACCCAUGUUUCCUCAUAGGUCUUCGAGUUCUGAGCUUACUCUCUCCAAUUCUUGUUCUUGAUCCGCCAUUCUUUGACGAGCGUUGGCUCUGGUGUUGUAGUGGUGUUGAGGACUCAGUGUGGAACUGAAGAAGACACAAAAAUGCGUUUUUUGUUUGAAGAACGACAUGAGUGUAUGUUAUGGGUGCAUUUUGUACAAAGCUCUUAGUUAUCUUUAUUAUUUAUUCCAGCAAUGUUAGAAUAUAAGAAUAACAUGUAAUAAUUGAGACCCAAAAUGACAACUUCCAUUAAUUAAAAUCAAAUUCGAAUACAAAAGAUUUAACUUCAAGUACACAUGAUUCGAAUACAAAAAGAUUUAAACACCAACAAUUCAAAUUCAAGUACAAGUAAACUUAAGCUCUGUCUCAGCUCUUAUGAUUGUACCAAGAUCUGUGGUGAGCUCCUUCAUCAUUUUCUUGAUAAACUUGACGAAAUUGAAAACUUGAGGAGGCGUGUUUUCUGGACACAUACACCAAUCUUCUUCCUGGAGUUUUUCUGGGAGUUCCAACAUGUUGAGGUUAACAAACCUAGCUAAGUCGCGGAACUUGCCAUUCCAUUCAACAUAGAGUUCUUGGAGUUUCUUGAUGACCUGUUGAUCUUCAUCUAAGGUUGCUCUAGCCUCUCUAUACAAACUUUUCCAGUACACACAAUCAUUCUUUUGGAGCAAGUAAGCUGCAUCACCUUCUUGGCUCUCCAAAACUGCAAACCUCCUAUUGGCUUCUUCCAACUGGUACCUGAGAUGGUGACAGUUUCUUUCAGCUUCUUCCUUUUGGAGUAUCUCGCGCGACAACUUUUCCUUGCAUUUCUUUAGAGUGUCCCUCAGUUCACGGAUCUGAGCCUCAAAGUCGAGCUUAAUUUCUUUCUUAUCCAUAAGGGAUUUAUCCAACAUUCUCCCUAACUCACAGAUCCUAUACUCAACUUUCUUGAGCUCUUCCUUCCUGGUUCGGAUCACUAAUAUGGAACCUAUAAGGAUAUGAUCAAGAUCAUCCUUCUGGUCUUCCAAUAGUCUGGCUCUCUUGUUACUAUCCUCAAGUUCUUGGGCUUUUCCCUUACGUUCGUCUUUCAAAUUCUAAUUUUCCAAGAUAACUCGGUUCAUCUGAAUCCGUAAUUCAGUAUUCUCCAAUUCGAGCUCCUUAACCUUAGUAGUGGGUUUCUCCAUGUCCUCAAGGAGUAUGGGCUUGGGCUCAGGAGUUUUGGGAAAGGCUAAAGCCUUUAAGAUAAAUGGCAAAUGGAUUUCCCCAACUCUUUCUUUCACCCAUCGAGUGUAAGGUUCUCUGGCGAGAAUGUUUCUUUUUCUAAACUCUUUACCCUUCCUAACAACCUUUAACCAAGCCUUUCGUACUGCUCUUACAUCAGGAUUGCUUGCUUCGAUGUCAAAGAGCACAAAUGGUUGUAAGUCCUUUACGUCAGGAGGACCGUCCAUGCAGUAACCGUGUUGCAUUCGAGAUAACAUAGGGUUAUAAUUGAUGCAACCCUUGGUACCCAACAACGGUACAUUAGGAAAUUCCCCACAGCUGACUAUAAUGUCUGGGGUUUCCCACUCUCGGAUAUAACCUUGGUACCCAACAACGGUACAUUAGGAAAUUCCCCACAGCUGACUAUAAUGUCUGGGGUUUCCCACUCUCGGAUAUACCAUCUGAUGGAACUUGCAGUGAGAGAAGCUAAUUUUUGAGGAGACUUAAGUUCUUUUGCCACAAAAGGACCUUCUUCGGGCAUGUGUUGCAUGAACCAAGUAUAAAGCAAAGGAGCAUAACACAACAAAGUUCUACCCCUCUUUUCAUGUCGAGCGUGAAGGGCAUGGUAAAUGUCAGAUAAGAGAAAUGGUACUGGAUUGCCAGAGAGAAAGACUUCUAUGGCUACCUGAUCCAUAAAUUUUUCAACAUUUGGGAAGAGCAUAAUCCCAUGGAUCAAUAAAGCCAACACAGCAUAGAAUGCAUUCCAAUUUCCGCUUUUCUUGAACUUCAGAGCUAAAUCUUCCAAAAACAUCGCGGCAAAACCUUCGCAACCCCCUUUUUCAACUCAAUUGCCUCGAACAGUCGGGACAUUGAUACUUAGGGAUGAAGCUAUCUUUUUUGGGCCCGCCUCUUCUUCGAGCUUUGGAAAUGGACUGAAAUCCUUCAAUUUGAGACCCACGAUCCUCUCAACUUCUUCCAAAGUAGGAGCUAGUUGGAAAUCAGCGAAUGUGAAACAGCGUAGAGGUGGAUCAGAAUAUUGUUCCAAAGAGCCGAUAAUCCCAUAGUCAACUUUCUUAGUUAGAAGGCUCAAAAGUUUCCCAUAAUUUUUCCGAACUCAUCACGUCUACUUAGAGUCAAAUCAGAGACCAAACCCUUCAGACUGUCCAGCUUAGGUUCCUUGUACUUAAGCAUGAAAGUGUGUCUCCUUGGAGUUGUCAUUUUCAAGUUCUCAAUUCCUGAAACAAAUAAGAGACAACUAAGAGCUUGCUUUUUAUGAUGUUGAUGCAAUGUAUGUGGAUGAAUGUGAUGCAUUUUUGUAUAAGUUCAAUAGGCUUAAGGCCUGGAUAAGUCUGAUUGCUUCGUAUAGAACAUGGUUCUCACCAGGUAUGAUCUAAGGUUUCAAAAAAGUUCCUAGAGUCAGGGAUCCAUUAGACUGUUCGCUAUCGGUGGCAACUUACUUGCCGGGCAUCAACUCCAUAUAAAGAAUCUACUCUAAGUGAGGUUCUCGCAUCAAUCCAACGAGAAAUUCAUCUCGCGGACCCAUGCUACGCAACCAUCCUUCCUAGUUGGACAAAGAACUAAGGUUCUACAAAUGGCUCUCAGAGUCAUGGAUCCUAAAGAAAAUAUCGAAGCUUACGGCAACUUAUUUGCCGAGCGACAACAUCCUCUCAAGAAUCUACUCUAAGUAAGAUUCUCGCACCGACCCAACGAGAAUUCAUCUCGCGGACCCGCACUACUCAACCUCGUCCUAUCUUAUGUUUUUACUCGAGACUGGGGUAAAAAGUCUUUCCCACAAGGUUUGCAAUCAGAGUAUCUCCAAGUACCAAAGCAUAUCGAACCAAUAUAAAAGAUUUAUACCAAUAGGAUAAUAAAUAUAGCAAAACAAUAAAGAAAAAGCCACACAGGUAAACAAACAAAAGCACGCAAACGACCUAACCAGGCUUGACUCACUUAGGGAGAAUCUCGUCCCCAGCAGAGUCGCCGUCUGUCGUACCUCAAUGAAAAAUAUGAGAGUACAACUUAAGCGAAGCGCAAUCGCGCGCUCGCAAUGAUGGACUGAACAGAGUCGCCACCGAACUUUAUUUAUUCCUAAAAAGGAAAGGGGAAAUAUCGAUAAAACCCAAGAAAGAACGACAAUGUAAUACCAGCAGCGUUGGUUUAGUCCCAUCGGGAGUCGAUUACGCAAGGGGAAGGUAUUAGCACCCCUCACGUCCGUUGUACUCAACGGGAACCAUUAGGUUAAUUGUGCGCGUUAGUGUUAGCUUGGAAUGUUGGGCUUCUCGAGUUAUUAGGUGGGAAAGAAAGAAUAGAAGAGAGAAGAAUGUUUUUGGAUUUUUGACGAAGGACUAAACCUAAAAUUUUUAUUAGUGGGCCUGACAAGAUUUACAAAUCCUGCUCCUACGUAUCUCAAUAGAGGAGUCAAGGCUUACGUAGUUCUGGAUAGAAAAAAAAAUUUGUUUGUUGGUUUAUUUUAGCGAAAGCUAUAUUGUAUUAAUUGACGAAAACAUUGUUUUACCUAAAACAGAUGAGGAGCGGACGUAUACCACACAUCGAAUGGAUUUACAAAUCAACAUUCGGAAAAAACGUCACUUAUCUUGACUCAACAAUCGUGGCCGAAACAUUGUUUUGCAUCACCUUAAGACAAUAUGUAUUUCUUUUAUGAAAAAGGUUUUUGAUUAAUCAUACGACGGCGAGAAAGGGUUUGAUUGGUUGGAUGUAUUUUCGAGUAAUGCCGAGAACUUGGAUGAGCAAGAUAUCCAUCUCGAAUCCUAGUCUCAGGAGUGCGUGGUAUCCACCACGUUCCAUUUCCAUAUUAAUUGAAAACGUGUUUAAUAAAGAUUAAGUGUUUUGAAUUUGAUUGAGAAAAGGUUUGAAGAAACCGCAUUGACAAUUUUAAAUGAUGGCGAGAGCUAAGAUAGGCGAGGCAUCCACCUCGAAUCUUAAUCUCAGGAAUGCACGGUAUACACCAUGUUCCAUUUCCAUCUCUAUUGAAAGAGGUUAAGAUCGGAAUUAAGUAUUUUGAAGUUUGAAAGACGAGUACUUGUGACUUACAAGCUCUUACAGCUUGGGUCUAAUACUCGGGACAUGCGUCUGGAUAUUCCACCCAGGCAGUCUGUUUCUUUGUUAAGAAAAUGGUUCGAAUAUUUACGAAUGUUUACCUCCCUUCUGCUUAUAAAUUGGCUUGCAAGCUCUUACAGCUUGAGCCUAAUAUUCGGGAUUAUAACUGGAUAUUCCAUCCAGGAUAAUCUUUUUCUUCAACUUUAUUAAGAAGAUGGUUUGAGAUAUUUACAGGCGUUUUGGAGAGAAGACGAAUAUUUAUGGCUUACAAGCUCUUACAGCUUGAGCCUAAUAUUCGGGAUUACGACUGGAUAUUUCAUCCAAGAUAAUCUUUUUCUCCAAAUUUUAAUAAAAAAGAUACGUUUGAAUAGAAGGAUUAAUGUGAGUGUUUGAGGUGUUGGUCAAUUAAAUUGAUAUGGCGCAUGAGUUCGUGAAGAAUAUGUCCAAAAGUAAGUCGGACGAAAUAAAUAAAUAAACAAAUUAUUUAUAACAUAUUAAAAAAAUUAAAUCGGAAAGAAUAAAAUCAACAAGCGUAAAAAAAAGACUAGAUAGCAAGGUACAAAAAUGGUAAAGUAAAUAGUAAGAAGUUAUAAAAGAUUUAAAUAAAAUAGCAAGCACAAAAAUGAAAAUAUGAAGAUAUGUUAUUCCCAAGUAUGGAACUCAUCCCACUAAAGCAAGUGAAAUUGCUUCCUCUCCACUCGGCCACUUAUGUCCAUUUGUUACCUUAACAACAACUUAAAUAUAUAAAUAGGCAUAGAUAAAGAUAAAUUUAAAAUAAAAAAAAACUAGCUAAAACGAUAUGGGCCUGGGUCUGUGAAGAUUUGUCUCACCAUUAAUGGUCCAAACACAAAAAUAAGCAAAGGAGACUAACAGACCAAAACCCUAGUCGCCUGGCUGUUGGGUAUGGACUAUGAAGAUUCCCAACACUAGUAAUUGCUGUCAGUAAUUAAUAAAAGGUUAAUGCAAAAGAAAACCAACAGGUAGACUUAAAGAGGGCACAGUAAAAUAAAAGAUGACAUUAGAUGGAAUAAAGUUAUUCCCAAAACCAUUAAUCAUCACAGAGAAGUAAAGUAAACUUUUUAAACAAAAAAAAAUCAGAAGCUAUAACCAUGGACGAAAGAGGAAGCGGGAGAAACAGGGGAAUGAUCGUCCCUUUCCUUCGAUCAAAAGGUUUUUCUCUCUCAUAAACAAAACCGAUUCCCUUCUCCACUUACAGUUACAAAGAAACCUUCACAACACAAUUCAAACAUCGGCUAAGAGUAAGAUUCGAGAAUGGCACUAACCAGCUGCAACGAAGUCGGCCAACGAAUGAGCAGGUAAGAGUCUUGCUGAAUCUUCUUCACAAUGUUCCUUUCCUACGGGUUCGUCCGUUAUCAACCACCGGUCACUUUUGGUUAUUGAAAUUUUUAGGGUUUCUCCUCUCUCUUCAGUAGCCGUCAAUACUCUUCUCUAGGGUUUUUUCGUGGUCGUCCUCUGGUGGAGGAGGAGGCUCCUUUUAUACUCACCCUGUUUAGGGUUUUUGAGCUGGCUAUGGAGAUCAAAAGGGUAAUGCUUUUGGAAGUGCUUUAGGGUGCUCACAGUUUGUCUACAUUAUUCGGUGUUUGAUCUGGAACAGGUAAUACAAAUCCUAUACUUUCUUCUUUGAAUUUGUCCUAAUUCCUUUUUGGGUUAUUUGUUAACUUUUACCGCCGGUAAAUGGCUUUUUACCGCUGUGAAUUUUAUCGGAAUAUUCAUGUGUGGUUUGAUGCUUGCAGGAGAAAACGUUGAGCUUGCGAGCAUGGCUUUGAUUUUUUUUUUGUGUUGAUGCUGUGGUGUAUGGUCUUUGGAAAAAGAGUUGUGAGAUCCUGUUGAAACUAUAGCAACUUGGGGAGCGGACUGCUGUAUGUGGCCUCCAUUAGAAGAGGCAUUUGAACUAUUGUGUUUGAUUGAUUUCUGGCGAGUUGAUCCCAUAUUGUUUAAAUUUACAUGAUCUUCAACUUGUCACUGCGUCUGGGAAGAGGAAGAAGGCAUGCUUUCCAUACCCUGCGAUUGAGAAACAGAAGAUCCAUCUAACAAACCCUUUGAUGACUCCGAUUUCGUAAAAGCUCUAGCCGAAUCAGACAAUGUUGGCCAAGAGUGUGCAUCCAUAACCGGCCGUACCUCCGAAGCUGCACCAUUGGAGGAAGGCUUAAUCCAAGCAGGUCUUGUGCAUAUAUGUUCAUAGUUGAAAAAUGGUUUCCAAUUUGUCGAACAAAUUUUGAUGGCGGUUCACAAGGUGUCAUCUAUUUAGCUUUUGCUGCACCCAAAAUCCCCGUGCUACUGAAUAUAGAAGCCUUGCAAGAGUACUCAGUUGAAGGUGUGAGGUUUUCUAAUUUGAAUCUUUUCUCGGGCCUCAAAACAAUGAAAGUCGGUUGUUCGAGGUAGUCCGUUGAUGAUAUUCUGUGCCAAAGCCUGCAGCCUAGAAAGUUCUUUAAGAGUUUGUCUUUGUAUUCAAGCACAAUGACCACUGAGGUGGGAAGACACUCUUCGAAAUGUAAAGAACAUGUUGGUGCUUCUUUCUUUUCUUCACAACUAGAAAAGAGUUUAGAAAACUUUAAAUCAAAACAUUCAACUGCAGUAGAGCACAACUUCUGAACCUCAGCACCGCAUGAGAGCCUGCUCACAAUUCCACGCGUCAUCCUAGCAUAUACGUGAUCCAGAGGUCCCGCUUCAUUCUCCAAUAAUUCGAGAACGGUUUCUACGAUCUUAUGCACUUCCGUGUAUACUUUCGUUCCUGUGAGAAUUAUGUGGGCUAAGGAAAUUCGCACAGAGAGUAUAUCCACUC
Molecule: long non-coding RNA, 21544 nt
Filed under: Lathyrus oleraceus (garden pea)
Lineage: Eukaryota; Viridiplantae; Streptophyta; Magnoliopsida; Fabales; Fabaceae
Description: Pisum sativum (pea) long non-coding RNA (PSAT_LNC030607)
Source: RNAcentral